RNAcentral lists this unclassified non-coding RNA (334 nucleotides) under Hevea brasiliensis (rubber tree). The record is from RNAcentral. Lineage: Eukaryota; Viridiplantae; Streptophyta; Magnoliopsida; Malpighiales; Euphorbiaceae.
CAGACAAGUCAUUAGAUGCUGCUUAUGUGGGUGAAUUGUCAGUGAUGAUCUAUGAAAAGGAAAUUCUACUGCUGCUAAACUUCUAAUGCCAAAUCCCCAAAGUAACAGCUAUGACAAAAAACAAAAAGUAGCAGAAGUGUGGUAUCUCCUCCUGGCAGAAUGGAUGACCUGAGCUUUUUCCUGGAUUGUUGUACAUAUGCCAUUACAGGAGGAAGUAUGCCAAACAGGAAACAAUUUGCAUAAACUCCUGCAAAAUCAAGGGCUUUUGAAAAGGUUGAGCGAAAGAAAGAUCCUAUGAGAAUAGGAACACUGAGAACCAGCAUUGUUACAAACG